Long non-coding RNA from Bombus pyrosoma, 1386 nucleotides. RefSeq lists it as uncharacterized. NCBI's taxonomy places the organism in Eukaryota, Metazoa, Arthropoda, Insecta, Hymenoptera, Apidae. The transcript is spliced from 6 exons. The record is from RefSeq and is a predicted model, not a curated record.
AAAUAUUGAUAUAUAAUUUCCCUGUUUUUUAUAUAAAAUACUAUAUGAAUUUAAGAAUUUUGAGAUUUCAGUAACUUUUCGAGAUUCAAAAUUUCGUGUGGGGAAAUUAAAACAUUUUAAAUAGUCCGCGCGACAGCGCCAGUAGUUUAACGAUCCGCCGAACAGUGUCGCCACGGACGGUCGUAUCAAGAUGGCGGCAGUAGUUCACGUUUGACGGAUGCCGUUGGUCGCAUGGAAAUUCGGGGCACACCCUGAGCGUUAAAUUGUACAAAGUGUGAUAUCGUCAGGCCGAAUGUUCGAUCAUCGUGAAAUCUUCGUAUAAAGAACUCGCUGGCAAUCCUGGAACUAGAUAACACGACAACUUGCGCAUACGUGUUAUCAUCGAAGAUUCGUCCGAAGGCUAUCUUCGAUUCCAGUUUCUGCGAUUCCCGUUUUAUCCCCCCGAUCUACUAUCUUGGCCUUGAACCGGACUCUUAGUGCCCUACUGUAACGAUUAUGGCGUGAAGGAGCUUUCGAAUUUUGAAAUCCGCAACCGCUUGUCGAAACAGAGAGAAUGAGAAAUUCUUAAAAGAGGUAUCCUGUCGGCCGAUGUUGAAAAUACGUCAAGACACCUGGUAUACGGGCAAACCGUUACCUGUUUCAUCGACGUGAAAAGGUUCAAUCUAUCCUCGUCCACGUAGCCGAUUUUUCCCCUGAGCUUAGAGAACACCACGUAGCGGCACUCGAAUCGCUUAUGGCAUCGUUCGUCAGUAGAGUGCGACGGGAUCGAAGACAACACGGCGUUGUCAAAAGAAAUGGAUAUCAUUGUCAGUGGUCGAAACUCAUCGUGACUCUAUCGAUCGUCGCUAAUCCUUGCUUUUACUUCUUACGGUAUACUCUACUUUUCCGUCUUCCUCGCGAUAAAUCUCCAUUAUCGUACAGACCCGGUGCAAGAGAAAACUUCAUUGUAAAAAGUGGAGCGCCAUCCUCGUCCUGUUAUAAACAGCACGUUCGUUCCAGCAAUGAUUAAUUGCAAACGAUGAGAUCAUUCGAGUAGGUGAUCCUCUAGCGACCAUGGGCAGCGCACGUAUCAAUUUGGCUCGAUGAGAGAGCACAAGGAUACUUUUGGAUCACGAAAGCACUCUUAUCGUUUCAAGAUGAGUCGAAUCGACCGCGUGGCCGAGCUGGUAUCGUCGAUACGAAUGCAAUAAAAGGCACUUGGCCAUGGAACAGGCAGCUGCUGCAUUCUCAGUUCAUGCAUUGCAUCUGCAACGAACUGAUUGUAUUUCUUUUCUGCAUCGGUGUCCCAUGCGAUUGUUUCGCAUCUGUAAGAAAUUUCUACAGGGUCUUCAAUUUUAUCAAUUCCACUGUUGCGUGAUUCGUUGAUUUUCUACUUUGAAUGCUAAU